Molecule: long non-coding RNA, 2690 nt
Organism: Ostrea edulis (European flat oyster)
Lineage: Eukaryota; Metazoa; Mollusca; Bivalvia; Ostreida; Ostreidae
Exons: 2
Source: RefSeq, a predicted model, not a curated record
CAGUAGAAGACAUGAUUUCAUUCUGUAUAUAUAUUACAGUAUAGUGCAUUUUCUUUCCAAUCAAAGCCCUCUGAAAGGCAUAAUGUAUAAUAUGUGCUCAAGAUUAGAAAGGUUUUUUUUUAAGGCAAUACCAUAAAAGAUACAAUCAAAUUUAUACCUGCAAGAAGAAGAGAGAAAAAACCCUAAAAAAUAAACCAAAAUAAGUUGAUGUAUGUCUUCCAUGUUUUUAUAUAAAACUGUAUCUGAAUUGUAAGUACAUAAGUAAAAUUUGCAACAAUUAACGAUCACAGAAAGUUAAAAGAGAUAUAACUUUCUGAGCUUGUUAAAUAUUGUGGAAUUGUUUUUUGUAACACGAUUGGGCAAUGACACUGGGCUGUUGCAUGCAGAAGUGUUUGGGCAAAGAUGCUGGGCUGUUAAUGUAGUGGUGUUUGGGCAAUGAUACUGGGCUGUUUUGUUGCGUGUAUAAGUAUUUUGGCGAUGACAUAGAGCUGGUUUUCUAUUUAGGUGUGGUCAGUUGUACAAAAUAAUGUACAGAAUUUGCUUGUUGUAUAUAACACUUGGACAAAAGACAAGACACAAAUAAAAGAAGUCCAGGAUGUUCAGAAAACUUAUGCUAAUGUUGGUGGUAUUUGUUUGAAAUUGACAAUAAUCACUGUUCUAUGAGGUGAAUUUAUUUCAAACCAUUGAAACCCUAUAGAUGUUUAUUACAAUUUUACUUCACUCUCAGGAGUGUAAUAGCGACUAAUAGGCAUUAUAGUUAAAUACUACUGUCUGCAUCUAGAAGAGUUAGGCUAGGUACAAGACAGAUUGUACUGUAAUCAUUAUCCUUUAUAGAGGAAAAAUCACCUGCUUUUGAUAAGAGUGAGAGGAUUUUGAUAGGAUAUUGAUCUAUUACAUAAAAGCAAUAACCUGUGUCUGCUACAUUGUAUAGUUAGAUCUACUGGAAAUAUUAACAGUUAGGUUCUAGGAUAAACCUGUCAAGGAGAAAGUUUUGGUGGACUUGAUUAGCGGGGUCUAUUGUUAUCAUUGUAGGGGUUACCCAAGCUACCCAACCCAUUUUACAACUGAUUUCGUAGCCUUUUGUGUAACUGUGAAAUAACACAAAAACCUGCAGAGAGAAUGUGUGAAUGAAGGCGAGAGUGAAACUAUGUAUAACCCAACAAGGGAGAUAAAAAGAGUAUAUCACACACGCUGGCCAGGGUGUCAGUUAGGUGGGAUGGCUAAUGACUCAGUUAUCAGUAAUAUCCCAAUUAUAUCAUUGGUAGGCAAUUUCGGAGAUAUAUGUAUCUGUCGUUAUGCUUGGCAGUUGGCACUGAUGUCACUUAAUGUGCACCGGAGCCAAAACAGGAUACAGUAUAACUAAACAGGGAUGGUCAGAAUACACGAUUCUUAAAUGUACUCACAAUGUUUCAUAGUCGUAGCAGAAUCCCUAGAUACAUGGAGUACCUUGGGUGGUCAUUGAUAAUAUAAUUAGAUUUGCUGAUCAAUUUUAAAUGAGUUGCCCAAUUCAAUUUGAUUUGGUUCCUGUAACAUGGAAUUUACAUGAUUGAAUUAGUAUAUUGUAUGACGAGUGCUGUUGCGAGUACACUCUCCUGUCGGUCAUCUUUGGAGUAUUUAUGAUAUGCAUUGAAUCCCUGUGCACUGAUUAGUGGUGACAGACCCUUAUUUACCUAGCACAUUUGGAGUUACAGCUUCUGAAAUGCUGGUACUUAAUUACAAAUGCUGAGGAGACAUUGGAAGCAUUGCUGAGAGACCAGAGAAGGUCCUAUGAUGUGUGAGGAAGGAAUUUGCAGGGUGAACACCCGAAGUUAAUGGACAUGUGUACAUUGAUUGGGGAACAGUUUAUCCGAUUGUAUUCUGAAUCUCCCUGUUCACAGUAAACACAGGGAUGGAGAGCGGGACAAACAGUCGCAGGUCCGUAAACUACGGAGAACUGGGACGCUGCCGUGCUGUGUAGUCUUACUGGCGUUUUACGUUUGACCCCACGGAAGUGAUCCUGGUUGUGUAGUCACAACAUGGCUGUUCAAGUUUACAGUGACUUAGAAAUAAUUGUUUGAUUUUUCCUGUACUUUAAAAACUUUGUAAAACAUGGGGUUUCUAAAUUCAUUGUUUAUGGGAAGUUGUCAUUUUUGUUACUUCUACAAGAUUAUGUAAGGAGUGAAAUCAAGACCUAUUUAUUUAUUCAAGUUAUCAGAAUACUGAAUAAAUCUAGUCUGUUUAGCAGAGAUAUGAUAUCAGAAUCAGUUAGGUCAUGUUUAAAGGUUGAGUCGUUAGGUGUGCUUUCUUCAGGUAAUGGUACAGAACACCUGUCGGUAGAGGGCACCUGAUUGGCCAGCUCCGAUUUACAGUUGUACUUACUUCAGGGCUCUGCACAUGGUGUGUUUCAAAAUAAAAAAGAAGAUAGAUCACUUGAUCUAUUAUGCAGAAUUAUCUUUGUCUGUGUAACAUGUGAUUGACAUUUCAAGUUCACAAGAAAAUAAAGGCAACUUUGAUUGAUUACCAAAAAAAUUUGCUUCUGAAAAUGUUUGCCAUUUUUUUCGCUUAACUUUACGAGACUCCAAGCCGAUUAAAAAUUUUUUUUUAUCUACACAUUCUAUCUAAUAUUUAUACAUCCUACAAUAUAUAUGCUCUUGAUGUAUGUAAUGUAUGCUGAUAUAGUAUUAAUGAGGUAUUAAAAAGAGAAAACAGAA